UACGUAGGGUGCAAGCGUUGUCCGGAAUUAUUGGGCGUAAGGAGCUCGUAGGCGGUCUGUUGCGUCGGCUGUGAAAACCCGGGGCUCAACCCCGGGCCUGCAGCCGAUACGGGCAGACUAGAGUUCGGCAGGGGAGACUGGAAUUCCUGGUGUAGCGGUGAAAUGCGCAGAUAUCAGGAGGAACACCGGUGGCGAAGGCGGGUCUCUGGGCCGAUACUGACGCUGAGGAGCGAAAGCGUGGGGAGCGAACAGG
Molecule: ribosomal RNA, 253 nt
Filed under: uncultured bacterium
Lineage: Bacteria
Description: partial 16S ribosomal RNA
Rfam family: Bacterial small subunit ribosomal RNA
Source: RNAcentral